CAGCAGCCGCGGGAAUACAGAGGGUGCGAGCGUUAAUCGGAUUUACUGGGCGUAAAGCGUGCGUAGGCGGCUUCUUAAGUCGGAUGUGAAAUCCCUGAGCUUAACUUAGGAAUUGCAUUCGAUACUGGGAAGCUAGAGUAUGGGAGAGGAUGGUAGAAUUCCAGGUGUAGCGGUGAAAUGCGUAGAGAUCUGGAGGAAUACCGAUGGCGAAGGCAGCCAUCUGGCCUAAUACUGACGCUGAGGUACGAAAGCAUGGGGAGCAAACAGGAUUAGAUACCCGAGUAGUCCCUGUCUCUUAACA
RNAcentral lists this ribosomal RNA (301 nucleotides) under uncultured bacterium. RNAcentral describes it as "partial 16S ribosomal RNA". It matches the Rfam family "Bacterial small subunit ribosomal RNA", at positions 509 to 808 of the family's 1533-position model. The record is from RNAcentral.